ACGAGAGGUUUCGAUUACUGGCUCAGGAUGAACGCUAGCUACAGGCUUAACACAUGCAAGUCGAGGGGCAGCAUUGGAGUAGCAAUACUUCAGAUGGCGACCGGCGCACGGGUGAGUAACACGUAUCCAACCUGCCGCUUACUCGGGGAUAGCCUUUCGAAAGAAAGAUUAAUACCCGAUGGUAUAAAGAGUUCGCAUGUUCUCUUUAUUAAAGAAUUUCGGUAAGCGAUGGGGAUGCGUUCCAUUAGAUAGUUGGCGGGGUAACGGCCCACCAAGUCUACGAUGGAUAGGGGUUCUGAGAGGAAGGUCCCCCACAUUGGAACUGAGACACGGUCCAAACUCCUACGGGAGGCAGCAGUGAGGAAUAUUGGUCAAUGGACGAGAGUCUGAACCAGCCAAAAGUAGCGUGAAGGAUGACUGCCCUAUGGGUUGUAAACUUCUUUUAUAAGGGAAUAAAGUGAGGGACGUGUCCCUUUUUGUAUGUACCUUAUGAAUAAGGAUCGGCUAACUCCGUGCCAGCCGCCGC
This 526-nucleotide ribosomal RNA is filed under the name uncultured bacterium. RNAcentral's name for it is "bacterial SSU rRNA". It matches the Rfam family "Bacterial small subunit ribosomal RNA", at positions 1 to 518 of the family's 1533-position model. The record is from RNAcentral.